Molecule: ribosomal RNA, 245 nt
Filed under: uncultured bacterium
Lineage: Bacteria
Description: partial 16S ribosomal RNA
Rfam family: Bacterial small subunit ribosomal RNA
Source: RNAcentral
AGUAACGCGUGGAUAACCUGCCUUACACUGGGGGAUAACACUUAGAAAUAGGUGCUAAUACCGCAUAAGCGCACAGAGCCGCAUGGCUCAGUGUGAAAAACUUCGGUGGUGUAAGAUGGAUCCGCGUCUGAUUAGCUGGUUGGCGGGGUAAAGGCUCACCAAGGCGACGAUCAGUAGCCGGCCUGAGAGGGCGACCGGCCACAUUGGGACUGAGACACGGCCCAGACUCCUACGGGAGGCAGCAG